Molecule: ribosomal RNA, 322 nt
Filed under: uncultured soil bacterium
Lineage: Bacteria
Description: bacterial SSU rRNA
Rfam family: Bacterial small subunit ribosomal RNA
Source: RNAcentral
AGAACGAACGCUGGCGGCAGGCUUAACACAUGCAAGUCGAACGGGCCCUUCGGGGUCAGUGGCAGACGGGUGAGUAACACGUGGGAACGUACCUUUCAGUUCGGAAUAACCCAGGGAAACUUGGGCUAAGACCGGAUACGCCCUUUUGGGGAAAGAUUUAUCGCUGAGAGAUCGGCCCGCGUCUGAUUAGCUAGUUGGUGAGGUAAAGGCUCACCAAGGCACGAUCAGUAGCUGGUCUGAGAGGAUGAUCAGCCACAUCGGGACUGAGACACGGCCCAAACUCCUACGGGAGCAGCAGGUGGGGAAUAGUUGGACAAGUGGG